UACGGGAGAUCCGAGCGUUAUCCGGAAUUACUGGGCGUAAAGAGUUGCGUAGGUGGCAUGUAAAGCGAGCAGUGAAAGACUCCGGCUCAACCGGAGGCACAUUGUUCGAACUUACAAGCUAGAGCAUAGUAGAGGUACCUGGAAUUUCUAGUGUAGGAGUGAAAUCCGUAGAUAUUAGAAGGAACACCGAUGGCGUAGGCAGGGUACUGGGCUAUUGCUGACACUAAGGCACGAAAGCGUGGGGAGCGAACGGG
This 254-nucleotide ribosomal RNA is filed under the name uncultured bacterium. RNAcentral's name for it is "partial 16S ribosomal RNA". It matches the Rfam family "Bacterial small subunit ribosomal RNA", at positions 524 to 776 of the family's 1533-position model. The record is from RNAcentral.